CUCUCUCUCCCUCUCUCUCCUGCGAAACCAGACCCAUUUUUUUUUCAGUUUCGACUUGCUACGACCCCACCUUCACGCCUCCACCACCGCCACCACACGCCGCCACUUGGGGCGGCACCGGUUCCGUUGGAACCACCACACUCCCUACUUUCCAUUCCACCCAACCACCGCCUCGAUCCGCCGCCGUGCACGCCGGAAUCAGCCACGAAAGGUAGCGGUUUGGACAGAUUUUUGUCAAACUUUCGGCCCUUCGUUCUCUCUCAUUUCUCCACCAAAUUGGACGAGUAAGGUAUGGUUUUCUACCUAUUUCCCAUGCUCUAGCUGAUGGUUGGGUAGGAUUUCGUUAAUUUUGAGCGUAGAUUAACUGAAUUUCGACUUAGGUUUUGGCCGGUUUUGGGUCUCCGAUUCCGGCCACUUCCGGUCAGUUUUUGGGGUAAGCCCAAGAACAAAAGUGACUCCAAAUAGGGUGUUGUACCUAGGGUAGGAGUCUUGAGCCGAGGUGUUGAGUUUUUCCGGCGAAGGGUUAUCGCUUUGGACACCCACGCGCUGCCAGCGCGUGUGGCGGCGCGUGGGCACUGUAGCAAACGUGAAUUUUUGUCCCAAUGCGAUCUCCUGGUUGUCACGAGUGCGUAGGAUUUUACGGAUCUCAAUUCGGACAUCGUUUGACUAUCGAACGGAUUUUCGCAUAGUAUGCGUUAUCCGGGUUCGAUAGGUUCCGACCGUUGGAUCGACUCCAUUCCAAUUUAUGUUACUCUAGACUUUCCUAGGAACGAGUAGGAUUUCACGGAUCAUGAAUCGGAGCCCCGGAUGUUCCGAUUCAAUAAUUUAAAGUUUGAAGAUUUUUCGAUAACCGUUCGAUCGUGAGCGAUCUAACCGUCCUUUUUGGACCAAACUUACGGGACUUGUGUCUUAAACCUUGUGGAACUCUUAGGAACUUCCAGUUUGUUCCGUUCCUCGUGCACUCUCUAGAAACCCGGGAAAUUAGGAUUUUAAUUCAAGUUCUCGUUCGAAACCCUUUAUAUUAAUCCCGUAUUUGUAUUCUGAAAUAGGUACUCCGACCACGCAUUCGCAGCAGGCGGGACCCUCUCAGGGUCAGGCAGUGUGGGACUACUUGUGAGUGGACUUUGUUUUCAAAUCUUAUGCAUGGUUUUAUGGAUGAAAGAUUUAUGCUUAACGUUUUUAAUGAUUUAUUGAAUAUAUUAUAUUCGUGGAUUGAAUUUGAUAUAGCAUAGUUGGAUUUUGAAAGUAUAUUUUAUAAGGAUUUUGGGAAAUUUUAUGCAUGAUGUUUUAAAUGGUAUUUUGGAUAUAUUAUUUAUUCAAUUGUUGAAAGUGAUAUUUUUAUGAGGCUUUAGAAAUAUAUUUUGGGUUUUGACAUAUUUGAGUAUCUUGAGUAUGUAUAUGGAUUUUGAGAAUUUAUAUAUAUGUUUGGCUAUGUGUGGGGUACUUGGGUUGUUGAGAUGAGAUUUUGGAAAGUGUUGAGUAUAGAAUGUCAGUUUGGAGUGCUAUAAGCACUACCCUAUGUACCUCCCCUGAUUUGGAACUUGGAUACGGAUACUUGAGAUACUCGGGGCAUCCUUGACGGGAUGUUGCUGUAGACCCUUGAUUGGGUAGUCUGCGCGUGUAGGACUGGUCACAGACGUACAAGUUUUGAGGGUAUCGACUGUACGUGCUGGCUGAGAGUUAGUCCCCCGGUUGGACGGCUCGUUCCCUAGUUACAUGGUGAAUUGAGGACUCUUCAUGGGGACUCUGCCAUGGUGACUAGUCAAACAAUCCCCCGGUUGGAUUGUUUCCCCGGUACAACUAGGUGUUGGUCAUAUUUAUAUUAUUAUUAUAUAUGUAUAUAUAUCUCUUAUUAUGUAUAAAUUUACAUAUGUAUAUAACUAUUCAUUUAUUCUUAUUUUUUUCGGUAAGGAUACUUCCUUGCCGGUCGUGCCAAUGGGUACGCUUUCGAGAGUUUGGUUUGGGACUUAUAAUAUUUAAUUGGUGGGUUUGUUUAGUGUUCUGUUUGGAUUUCGGACUUGGCAUCCGGCUUUGGUUUGGUUUUGACCUAUAUAAAUAUUUAUUUGAUUUUGAUGAUUUGAGAUGCAUUCGGAUUUUCUUGCUUGGUUUAUUAAACAGUGGGGUUAUAUUAUGUUGGUUUGCACUGAACUGAACUUUAUUUUUGUCCACUCACAUUUUUCUGUUUUGCGCCCCCAGCCAGUAGUCGACUGAGCUUCGCAGCUAGGCCGGAUCGUGUGCUCACGAGCCUUGAGCCAUCGUAGGAUUUCUUCAUCCUGUUUUCCUUGAACUUUGUUUCUGUUGUAUUUAAACUCCUUAGAUAUGCUCUGUUAUCGCCCUUGCUAGGGUUGAUCUUUGAGGCCGGAGGCCUUUGUUGUAAACUGUUUAAUUGCUUUAAAGCAUGCUGCUGGUUGAGUACUUUAAACUGUGUUUUUGAGCAGGUUGAAUUUUUGGGGAAAUGCUCAAUUUACAGGGGAGACUCUGCCAAAAUUUUUGGUAGAAAGUCUCGAUUCUUAGUAAGUGGGCCCGGCAUCGGGGAGAUGUCGGUAACUAGACGGGAUUCGCUCCGAUUUUCGAGAAUUCCGGGGCGGGUCCUGUCACUAUCU
Molecule: long non-coding RNA, 2603 nt
Filed under: Prunus dulcis (almond)
Lineage: Eukaryota; Viridiplantae; Streptophyta; Magnoliopsida; Rosales; Rosaceae
Description: sRNA ncRNA
Source: RNAcentral